Molecule: ribosomal RNA, 439 nt
Filed under: uncultured bacterium
Lineage: Bacteria
Description: bacterial SSU rRNA
Rfam family: Bacterial small subunit ribosomal RNA
Source: RNAcentral
CCUACGGGGGGCAGCAGUGGGGAAUAUUGGACAAUGGGCGAAAGCCUGAUCCAGCAAUGCCGCGUGUGUGAAGAAGGUCUUCGGUUGUAAAGCAUUUUCGACGGGGACGAUGAUGACGGUACCCGUAGAAGAAGCCCCGGCUAACUCCGUGCCAGCAGCCGCGGUAAUACGAAGGGGGCUAGCGUUGCUCGGAAUGACUGGGCGUAAAGGGCGCGUAGGCGGUUUAUGCAGUCAGAUGUGAAAUCCCCGGGCUUAACCUGGGAACUGCAUUUGAGACGCAUAGACUAGAGGGCGAGAGAGGGUUGUGGAAUUCCCAGUGUAGAGGUGAAAUUCGUAGAUAUUGGGAAAAACACCGGUGGCGAAGGCGGCAACCUGGCUCGAUACUGACGCUGAGGCGCGAAAGCGUAGGGAGCAAACAGGAUUAGAUACCCGGGUAGUC